RNAcentral lists this ribosomal RNA (440 nucleotides) under uncultured bacterium. Its description in RNAcentral is "partial 16S ribosomal RNA". It matches the Rfam family "Bacterial small subunit ribosomal RNA", at positions 338 to 795 of the family's 1533-position model. The record is from RNAcentral.
CCUACGGGUGGCAGCAGUGGGGAAUAUUGCACAAUGGGCGAAACCCUGAUGCAGCGACGCCGCGUGAGUGAAGAAGUAAUUCGUUAUGUAAAGCUCUAUCAGCAGGGAAGAAAAUGACGGUACCUGAGUAAGACGCCCCGGCUAACUACGUGCCAGCAGCCGCGGUAAUACGUAGGGGGCAAGCGUUAUCCGGAUUUACUGGGUGGAAAGGGAGCGUAGACGGCAGUGCAAGGCUGGAGUGAAAUGCGGGGGCUCAACCCCCGGACUGCUCUGGAAACUGUACGGCUGGAGUGCAGGAGAGGUAAGUGGAAUUCAUAGUGUAGCGGUGAAAUGCGUAGAUAUUAGGAGGAACACCAGUGGCGAAGGCGGCUUACUGGACUGUAACUGACGUUGAGGCUCGAAAGCGUGGGGAGCAAACAGGAUUAGAUACCCCAGUAGUC